GACGUAGGGCGCGAGCGUUGUCCGGAUUUAUUGGGCGUAAAGAGCUCGUAGGCGGCUUGUCGCGUCGUCCGUGAAAACUUGGGGCUCAACCCCAAGCUUGCGGUCGAUACGGGCAGGCUAGAGUUCGGUAGGGGAGACUGGAAUUCCUGGUGUAGCGGUGAAUGCGCAGAUAUCAGGAGGAACACCGGUGGCGAAGGCGGGUCUCUGGGCCGAUACUGACGCUGAGGAGCGAAAGCGUGGGGAGCGAACAGG
This 252-nucleotide ribosomal RNA is filed under the name uncultured bacterium. RNAcentral's name for it is "partial 16S ribosomal RNA". It matches the Rfam family "Bacterial small subunit ribosomal RNA", at positions 524 to 776 of the family's 1533-position model. The record is from RNAcentral.